Bombyx mori (domestic silkworm) is the source of this 406-nucleotide long non-coding RNA. RefSeq lists it as uncharacterized. The transcript has 2 exons. The record is from RefSeq and is a predicted model, not a curated record. Lineage: Eukaryota; Metazoa; Arthropoda; Insecta; Lepidoptera; Bombycidae.
UUUUUUUGACGCGACAACGUCUUAUAAUUCGAUGGAGCCGGCUGCACGCACGAAAAAACAUGACUCAUGCGGCGUUACCUCGCUCUGAGGCGUUCCAUUUAAGGCUUGAAGUGCAAGCGAGAGCGCGCAACGAGCGACAAAGAGGCACAAUCGGCCUCCGCGUUCGGCAGCGUUCGACAUCUGUCUCUCUCCUACUUGAGUGAGCGAUGCAUCCGCGUGGACAGCUGCUAUACAAUAAUACAUUUUCAUGUUUUCGUCAAGUAUGAAGUUCAGUGAAAAGUGAAUGUGGUGUCAAUUGUUUAUAGCAACGAUAAUUGCGAUAAUUGAAAAAUGAAACCAUUCCAUCAGUAUUUUCUUACGACGUUGUCACGUUCAACUAUCGUCAGUAAACCGACUUUACAGACAA